RNAcentral lists this long non-coding RNA (3053 nucleotides) under Gallus gallus (chicken). Lineage: Eukaryota; Metazoa; Chordata; Aves; Galliformes; Phasianidae. The record is from RNAcentral.
UGAACAGAGAAGUAUGGAUCAUCCAAAAAAAGAGUAAAAUUGGCAUUAAAAGAGAUGAUGACAUGCUCCAAUAAGUUUUAGGAUAAAUACAUAUAUACAUGCAUAUAUAUGUGCAUGUGUUCAUGAGGAAGUCAUUAAGAAAUCUUUUCAAAAUUCCAAGUGUUGUAAAUAAAGCCUGGAACAACCUACUGGCAGGACUUAUUAACUCCAUCAACAUGUUUUAUACAGAGAAAAAUGUCCAAGUUCACAAUAAAAUAAAAUAUUAAUUGGAGUCAAUAGAAAAAUAUCCAAAAAAAAAAGUGAAAUACUUCAAUAUGCUAUUAUAGGUUCUGUUCUGAAUAUCUUCGAUUUCUUUUUCUUCAUGAGUGCUUUCAGUGUUAUAAAAAGUGAUUAAAUCAGCUGCUGCAUAUGUAAAAUAUUGGCGGUUUUCAACCCAAAAUGAAAAGAAGCAUGCUGUAUGUUUGUAUGUGCUCCUAUUUGUCCCCAGAGAAACUUGUUUACCAAAAUCUGAAAGGCUGGCAAAUGGUUUGGUACAGCUGUGAAUUGAUUUUGGGCGUUUGGGAAUGAGAUCAGGAACAAACUGAAUGUAUCCGAAUGGCAGAGUUUUACUUGGACAGUUUUCACUAUAUGUUACUGUGAAUUUUGCUAGGCGAACAAAAUCAUGUUCUGAUUGUGUUGCACCAUGCGACUUAAACCUUUUGUAUUCAUACAUUCAGCAUGUCAUUUCCAGAUGGAUUCUGGACUUUUGGAGUUCACUGUUUUAACAAAUAAAAUUCAGGAAUUUUUAUAAACUCUUUUUCUCACUGUCUGAGCCCACAGAAACAGCAUAUAAUAAUGCCAUAUCGGUGUUGAAUAAUGUCAGGGAAUAAUCACUAUAAGUAUUGCAUCAAAUGUUAUGAUGCUUGACUGUCUCAGUGCAUAAAGGAAGCAACAAAUAUUGAGUAUGUAUUUGUAAGCUUUGAAAAUUUUCUUCUUAUCGUGGAAAAAUUGUUCUCCUUAUGUUCUCUGUGCUGAACGUUUACUUAAUUCAACUUAGGUUUCCUAGCAGAAAAUGUAUUGGCUGUCUAUGCAUGUUCUGGGCACCUGAGAGCAAUAUGACUUGAUCCUUUAUGAGACCUAAUUAAUGUCCUUUUAGGCAAAGUACUACUUUCCGAAGUAGUAAUUUUACAGCUAGCUUUAUUUUUGUUUUAUUUUCAAAACAAUGGUCGCAAACUCCUAGGGGCCUUAUUAAAAUUAGUAUUUUAUAUUUAAUGUAACAUUUAAUUUUAUUUGAUUUUAGAUAUUGGUGAUUAGGUGUGUGAAAUCUGUACAUUUCUCUUACCGGGUGUAUGGGAAUUGUUGAGUCACAGCCUGAACCACUGAUUGAUCACCUGAGGCAAGGACUCAGUCAGCCUUCGGAGUGCAGGUGAAGGCAAUUCAUGUGUGUGACCAGAAGGAGGCUUCACCUCUCGUAGACCCCAUUUAAGGUCUGACUGCCGCUGGAGAAGGAUCUCUUACUUGAGAUCGUUCCUUUGUGGAGUCUUUCCUGCAAACCUAGAUCUUCGGAUAUAGACUAUCAAGACUUCAGUGAGGCCUUGGACAUGGUGCCCUACAACAUCCUUCUCUCCAAAUUAGAAAGAUAUGGAUUUGAUGGGCGGACAGUUUGAUGGACAAGGAACUGAUUGCAAUAUUAUACCCAGAGAGUGAUGGUCAAUGGCUCAAUAUCUGGAUGGAGGUCAAUGACACAUGGUGCCUCUCUGGGGCAUCUUGGGAAAAUGCCGCUACAUUUACUAUGGAAAACAUUCUGAAGGCAACAGAUUCAUCCGAGACGACCAGCUAUAAAACACUGCACUCUUUCGUGCCACUUCAGUCACUCCACACAAGAAGCACAAAUAGAAUCUAAAUUUUAAGCAUGUAACUAAAGUCCUCUAGUGCCUUCUGCUGACUUUGCCAGGCCUGUCAAGAUCAUCCUUCCAUCUCAGUCUGAGUAGUCACAUAGAGAUUGACAUGAUUGCCUUUAAGCAGGUCCCAUCCACCAGCGUGACAGACAGCUGUGGCAGAGCACCCGGCCUGACAGGAGGAGCAUGCUGAUGGAUUGCCUGGUCCAGCUGCUGCACGCAGGAGAGCUGGGGUCACACCUGGGCCUUCACUGAGCAUGCUCUGUUGGCUGGCACCGCACAAAAGCAGCGUGUUUAUCUCCUGCUCGCCUGUUGAGGGAGAGUGGCUGGUGAUAUCAAAGUGUUUAUAAAAGAGAAGGGCUAUAAUUUCAGAUGAAAAACCCCUUAUCUGUUCUAAGUUUUUUUUUUUUUCUUGUGAAUUAAGUGCUUUUGUUUCUGUCAUCUCCUAUAUGCUCACACACAUGCUCUUCAUAGGGUGUUCUUGGUUUUUCCACAAAUGAGCCUGUAUGAAUUAUUCUUUCUUUCAACAGGAAAAGAUGUAUCCAGAAAAUAUUUCAUCAAUUUUUGCUUAUAAGCAAAGGAAAAAAGGUUUGAACAGUUUUACAGGCAAACAAAAUUUUCUAAUUGUUAAAUAACAUCUCACAUUAAUUUACCUUGAUCUUCAGAAGAGGGGUCAUUUUUAAUACUGUGUUAGUAACAUAGGUUCUCUGUGAAGUUGGAAAGGCACUCAGUUAUGACAUUGAUAGUGUAUAUUAUUCCUGGUUUAUUACACAAUAUAUAUUUUACUUGUGUAGAGUACAUUUAGAAUUAAACACUUAAAUUUGGAAGGGAAAAAGGGCUUAAAAAGAGGGAUGUAAAAUAAAAUUGCCACCAGAUAGGUAUGAUUACUCAGGAGGGAAAAAUGUCAAUAAAAGUGACUGACGGAAUUAACAUAAUUAACAGCUUUACUAAUAUGUUCUGGAGGAAAGUUCUGUUUAAUCCCAUUUGAAGCCUACAUAAGAAAGGCUACUCUGAAGUUUUCAGUGAAAAACCAACAAUACAUAGAGUAUUUCUUGCUUCUCUAAGAAAUGGAUUGAGAUACUUAGAAUCAUGAACAUCUUUCUGUGGAAAAAAAAUCCUAAUACUUAAUAAAUAUAUCAUGUUAAGUGCUGCUUGUUACAGUGUGAUUGGCAUAGG